This 68-nucleotide transfer RNA is filed under the name Ictidomys tridecemlineatus (thirteen-lined ground squirrel). Its description in RNAcentral is "Spermophilus tridecemlineatus (thirteen-lined ground squirrel) tRNA". It matches the Rfam family "tRNA". Rfam says of the family: Transfer RNA (tRNA) molecules are approximately 80 nucleotides in length. Their secondary structure includes four short double-helical elements and three loops (D, anti-codon, and T loops). Further hydrogen bonds mediate the characteristic L-shaped molecular structure. tRNAs have two regions of fundamental functional importance: the anti-codon, which is responsible for specific mRNA codon recognition, and the 3' end, to which the tRNAs corresponding amino acid is attached (by aminoacyl-tRNA synthetases). tRNAs cope with the degeneracy of the genetic code in two manners: having more than one tRNA (with a specific anti-codon) for a particular amino acid; and 'wobble' base-pairing, i.e. permitting non-standard base-pairing at the 3rd anti-codon position. The record is from Rfam by way of RNAcentral. Lineage: Eukaryota; Metazoa; Chordata; Mammalia; Rodentia; Sciuridae.
GGGACUGUGGCUCAGUGGUAGAGCACUCAUCUAGCAAAUGUGAGGCACUGGGUUGAGCCUCAGUACCA